Long non-coding RNA from Patella vulgata (common limpet), 870 nucleotides. RefSeq lists it as uncharacterized. The transcript has 3 exons. The record is from RefSeq and is a predicted model, not a curated record. Lineage: Eukaryota; Metazoa; Mollusca; Gastropoda; Patellidae.
CUCUUUAUACGUCAACCAAUAUCACUAUACCUUUACUUUGUACUCCUAUAUCAAGGAUAACUGGUUUUAUUAAAAUUAGAAUCGGCAAAUUGCGGCAUUGACUGUCACAUAAGGUGAAUAGUAUAACAGUAAUAAUGAUUAUGAGGUAUUAUUUGAUACCACUAUUAAUACUGGAAUGUUGUCUACUUGUAUUAAGUGUACCUAUUAAAACAGCUGUGACACCUCAUAAGAAACCAGAUGUUCGACCUUACAGAGAAACUGAUCCUGUAAUCUUAACGGAAGUAAUCCUAACACCUACAACCAAAGCGAGGCCACCAACGACUACGGUAACAACAACAGUAGCGCCCUCUAAAAAUAUAACACAGGACAACAACAAAUACACAAACCGCCACAUGUCAAACAAUCGACAACUUCCAGCGUGACUAAGUCGUAAUUCCAUCAUUCUUCACACAUCUAUAGCCGGUUGUGAUUCACGGGGACAUCAUGAGGGAGGUGUUAUUGAGCUGAGGUGUUAUUGUAGUGUGUUAUAGAUCAAGUCAUACGAUUAAUGUUUUGUUUUGAAAGAUUAAGCAUAAGUCGGAUUGUUGGCUAAUUUUAGCUUAAAUUUCGGUUCAUUGUGUGGACAUAAAAUCCGGUUAUAUCUAAUCAAGGGCUUUAUCUAUGGAUAUAAUAUUUCUACGAAGAUCGGGGCCCCACAAAAUAGUUUAACACAUAAAAUUCGGUAUAAAAAAGUGCUAGAGUGUAUGUAUUUUUGUGUAUUAAUUAACGGUGUUUUAAUAGUUUUUGUUCAAUUGGUACUUAGUGCAUAUAUAUCCACGUUACUAAAAACAAACAUACAUAAUAUGUAAUAAUAAAGGAGUUAUAAGAGGU